This 1669-nucleotide ribosomal RNA is filed under the name Haemophilus influenzae. RNAcentral's name for it is "bacterial LSU rRNA". It matches the Rfam family "Bacterial large subunit ribosomal RNA", at positions 1273 to 2925 of the family's 2925-position model. Lineage: Bacteria; Pseudomonadati; Pseudomonadota; Gammaproteobacteria; Pasteurellales; Pasteurellaceae. The record is from RNAcentral.
CUGGACGUAUCACAAGUGCGAAUGCUGACAUAAGUAACGAUAAAACGGGUGAAAAACCCGUUCGCCGGAAGACCAAGGGUUCCUGUCCAACGUUAAUCGGGGCAGGGUGAGUCGGCUCCUAAGGCGAGGCUGAAAAGCGUAGUCGAUGGGAAACAGGUUAAUAUUCCUGUACUUGGUAAAGCUGCGAUGUGGGGACGGAGUAGGUUAGGUUAUCGCACUGUUGGAUAUGUGCGUUUAAGUUGGUAGGUGGGAAGUUUAGGCAAAUCCGGACUUCCUUAACACAGAGAGAUGAUGACGAGGCUCUACGGAGCUGAAGUAACUGAUACCACACUUCCAGGAAAAGCCACUAAGCGAAAGGCUUUACUAAACCGUACUGAAAACCGACACAGGUGGUCAGGUAGAGAAUACUCAGGCGCUUGAGAGAACUCGGGUGAAGGAACUAGGCAAAAUAGCACCGUAACUUCGGGAGAAGGUGCGCCGGCGUAGAUUGUAGUCCCUAGCGGGCGAAGGUUGAACCGGUCGAAGAUACCAGCUGGCUGCAACUGUUUAUUAAAAACACAGCACUCUGCAAACACGAAAGUGGACGUAUAGGGUGUGAUGCCUGCCCGGUGCUGGAAGGUUAAUUGAUGGUGUCAUCGCAAGAGAAGCACCUGAUCGAAGCCCCAGUAAACGGCGGCCGUAACUAUAACGGUCCUAAGGUAGCGAAAUUCCUUGUCGGGUAAGUUCCGACCUGCACGAAUGGCAUAAUGAUGGCCAGGCUGUCUCCACCCGAGACUCAGUGAAAUUGAAAUCGCCGUGAAGAUGCGGUGUACCCGCGGCUAGACGGAAAGACCCCGUGAACCUUUACUAUAGCUUGACACUGAACAUUGAAUUUUGAUGUGUAGGAUAGGUGGGAGCCUUUGAAGCAGUGACGCCAGUCAUUGUGGAGGCGACCUUGAAAUACCACCCUUUAACGUUUGAUGUUCUAACGAAGAUGACGAAACGUGGUCUCGGACAGUGUCUGGUGGGUAGUUUGACUGGGGCGGUCUCCUCCCAAAGCGUAACGGAGGAGCACGAAGGUUUGCUAAUCACGGUCGGACAUCGUGAGGUUAGUGCAAUGGUAUAAGCAAGCUUAACUGCGAGACAGACAAGUCGAGCAGGUACGAAAGUAGGUCAUAGUGAUCCGGUGGUUCUGAAUGGAAGGGCCAUCGCUCAACGGAUAAAAGGUACUCCGGGGAUAACAGGCUGAUACCGCCCAAGAGUUCAUAUCGACGGCGGUGUUUGGCACCUCGAUGUCGGCUCAUCACAUCCUGGGGCUGAAGUAGGUCCCAAGGGUAUGGCUGUUCGCCAUUUAAAGUGGUACGCGAGCUGGGUUUAGAACGUCGUGAGACAGUUCGGUCCCUAUCUGCCGUGGGCGUUGGAUGAUUGAUUGGGGCUGCUCCUAGUACGAGAGGACCGGAGUGGACGCAUCACUGGUGUUCCAGUUGUCUCGCCAGAGGCAUUGCUGGGUAGCUAAAUGCGGAAGAGAUAAGUGCUGAAAGCAUCUAAGCACGAAACUUGCCAAGAGAUGAGUCAUCCCUGACUUUAAGUCAGUAAGGGUUGUUGUAGACUACGACGUAGAUAGGUCAGGUGUGUAAGUGUAGUGAUACAUUGAGCUAACAGAUACUAAUUGCCCGAGAGGCUUAACUAU